Molecule: ribosomal RNA, 114 nt
Filed under: uncultured bacterium
Lineage: Bacteria
Description: partial 16S ribosomal RNA
Rfam family: Bacterial small subunit ribosomal RNA
Source: RNAcentral
CACACCGCCCGUCACACCACGAAAGUGGUCAUAACCAGAAGUGUCUGAGCUAACGCAAGAGGCAGGAUACCAAGGUUGUGGCCGUGAUUGGGGUGAAGUCGUAACAAGGUACCC